UCGAGAAUUUUUCUCAAUGGGGGAAACCCUGAAGGAGCGACGCCGCGUGGAGGAUGAAGGUCUUCGGAUUGUAAACUCCUGUCAUUUGGGAACAAUGUGCAGUCGUUAACUGCGAUUGCAUUGAUAGUACCAGAAGAGGAAGAGACGGCUAACUCUGUGCCAGCAGCCGCGGUAAUACAGAGGUCUCAAGCGUUGUUCGGAUUCAUUGGGCGUAAAGGGUGCGUAGGUGGCGCCAUAAGUCAGGUGUGAAAUCUCGGGGCUCAACCCCGAAACUGCACUUGAUACUGUGGUGCUCGAGUACUGGAGAGGAGAUUGGAAUUUACGGUGUAGCAGUGAAAUGCGUAGAUAUCGUAAGGAAGACCAGUGGCGAAGGCGAAUCUCUGGACAGUUACUGACACUGAGGCACGAAGGCCAGGGGAGCAAACG
RNAcentral lists this ribosomal RNA (426 nucleotides) under uncultured Chthoniobacter sp. Its description in RNAcentral is "bacterial SSU rRNA". It matches the Rfam family "Bacterial small subunit ribosomal RNA", at positions 355 to 774 of the family's 1533-position model. The record is from RNAcentral. Lineage: Bacteria; Pseudomonadati; Verrucomicrobiota; Spartobacteria; Chthoniobacterales; Chthoniobacteraceae.